AAGGAUUUAAGUUAAGCAAAACUGUCAACCUUCAAAGUUGCAAAUAGAGGCUCUCUAAGCCUUA
Molecule: transfer RNA, 64 nt
Filed under: Ischnomera caerulea
Lineage: Eukaryota; Metazoa; Arthropoda; Insecta; Coleoptera; Oedemeridae
Description: tRNA-Trp
Source: RNAcentral